Trachemys scripta elegans is the source of this 168-nucleotide long non-coding RNA. RefSeq lists it as uncharacterized. Lineage: Eukaryota; Metazoa; Chordata; Testudines; Emydidae. The record is from RefSeq and is a predicted model, not a curated record. The transcript is spliced from 2 exons.
ACCGGGCCUGUGGGGAGAACAUGCACGUCAGUCACUACUGCUUCCCUCUGCAGCAGAGCUUCUGGCAACUCCAGCGCAUCCUGGACACCCAGCCAGAGUGCCCCAAACAUGUCACAGACAUAGUGCUCCUCAUCGACGGCUCGGGCAGCAUCGCACGUGAGGACUUUG